Molecule: ribosomal RNA, 321 nt
Filed under: Chitinophagaceae bacterium
Lineage: Bacteria; Pseudomonadati; Bacteroidota; Chitinophagia; Chitinophagales; Chitinophagaceae
Description: partial 16S ribosomal RNA
Rfam family: Bacterial small subunit ribosomal RNA
Source: RNAcentral
ACUACAAUGCCCAGCACAAUGAGAACCGAUACCGCGAGGUGGAGGAAAUCUGCAAAACUGGGCUCAGUUCGGAUUGGAGGCUGCAACUCGCCUCCAUGAAGUUGGAAUCGCUAGUAAUGGCGCAUCAUCUACGGCGCCGUGAAUACGUUCCCGGGUCUUGUACACACCGCCCGUCACAUCAUGGAAGCCGGUCGCACCCGAAGUGCCUGCAUCAACCCGCAAGGGGGAUAGGGUCCUAAGGUGUAGCUGGUAACUGGGAUGAAGUCGUAACAAGGUAGCCGUAGGGGAACCUGCGGCUGGAUCACCUCCUUUCUACGGAGA